This 1044-nucleotide long non-coding RNA is filed under the name Coturnix japonica (Japanese quail). RNAcentral describes it as "lncRNA (ENSCJPG00005018277.1)". The record is from RNAcentral. Lineage: Eukaryota; Metazoa; Chordata; Aves; Galliformes; Phasianidae.
UACAUUCUUCACCUCCCUUCCGCUUCUGAAGCACAGCCCGACGGCCUAACGAGGCAGCAGGCUGUGCUUUAUCCCAGGGCUCUGCAGACCGCGGCUGUGGCCCAGCCUGCAGCGGGCACGGCUCGGGGAGCGGCGGUUACGAAACCCGUGAGGGAGGGCUGCGGGGAGCGGGAGCCGGCGGCGGGCUGCCUUGCUGCUCGGUACCACAGCCCUGUCGGGGGUCGGGGACGAGAGACGGGGCUGCGGGCCGCUCGGAGAGGGGAGUUCCGACCUUCUAAACAAACACUGGUUAGGAAUAACGAACAAACAGCCCCGCCGUGCCCGCCUGCAUGGCAGUUUUGUAAUCGCCGAUGGAGGGGGAGGGUGCCGUGCGGGCGGGCUGCGUGGCUGCGUAGGUCUUACAUAAGGGACGGAGGGCGGGAGGCGGAGCGGGAAUCGGUGUUACGGCUCGGUGCCCCAGACCCGCAGCGAGACGUGAGGGGUGGGGCAGGGGUAAGGGGAAAGCAGGGGACGCCCGAGGGGAACAGCGCGGUAUCGCCGCGCAUGCGCGCUACCCUCAGCGGGAGCGCGCGGAGCACGAUACAUAACAGUGCUCGGGCACGCGCCCGGAGCAGCAGCAGCAGCAGCAGCAGCGGCGGCGGCAGCUCAGCUCAGCUCAGCCCAGCUCAGCCCGGCCCGUCCCGUCCCGGCCCGGCGGCCCCGCGGCCCCUGGCGCCGCCCAGCUGGGCGGGAAUCCCGCCUCGCCGCCACCUCCCGCCGCGGCCGGCAGCGAACACACUUCAGAAACGUGAGGGCCGGCGGUCACGUGGGGGCGGAGGCGGCCAAUCGGCGGCGGGGGGCGGGGCGGGGCGGCCGGCGGAGCCCCGGCGCAGUCACAGGGCGAGCGGCGAGGUGGCGGCCGGCGGCGCGGCACGAGGAGAGCCGGAGAGCUGCGCGGCCGCUCCGCGUUCCCGAGCCCGUCCCGUCCCGUCCCGUCCCGCCGAGCCGCGGGUUCUCCGCGCGGUGAUGCGUCCCCGUCGGGCGGCCGCCUCCGCCGGGUCCUAG